AGUGAACGCUGGCGGUAGGCCUAACACAUGCAAGUCGAACGGCAGCACAGUAAGAGCUUGCUCUUACGGGUGGCGAGUGGCGGACGGGUGAGGAAUACAUCGGAAUCUACUUUUUCGUGGGGGAUAACGUAGGGAAACUUACGCUAAUACCGCAUACGACCUACGGGUGAAAGCAGGGGAUCUUCGGACCUUGCGCGAUUGAAUGAGCCGAUGUCGGAUUAGCUAGUUGGCGGGGUAAAGGCCCACCAAGGCGACGAUCCGUAGCUGGUCUGAGAGGAUGAUCCGCCACACUGGAACUGAGACACGGUCCAGACUCCUACGGGAGGCAGCAGUGGGGAAUAUUGGACAAUGGGCGCAAGCCUGAUCCAGCCAUACCGCGUGGGUGAAGAAGGCCUUCGGGUUGUAAAGCCCUUUUGUUGGGAAAGAAAAGCAGCAGGUUAAUACCCCGCUGUUCCGACGGUACCCAAAGAAUAAGCACCGGCUAACUUCGUG
This 492-nucleotide ribosomal RNA is filed under the name uncultured bacterium. Its description in RNAcentral is "partial 16S ribosomal RNA". It matches the Rfam family "Bacterial small subunit ribosomal RNA", at positions 29 to 507 of the family's 1533-position model. The record is from RNAcentral.